GUGGUUGUAGCUCAGUUGGUUAGAGCGCUGGAUUGUGGUUCCAGAGGUCGCCGGUUCGAACCCGGUCUUCCACC
The sequence is a transfer RNA, 74 nucleotides long. It matches the Rfam family "tRNA". From Rfam's summary of the family: Transfer RNA (tRNA) molecules are approximately 80 nucleotides in length. Their secondary structure includes four short double-helical elements and three loops (D, anti-codon, and T loops). The record is from Rfam.